UACGGAGGGAGCUAGCGUUAUUCGGAAUUACUGGGCGUAAAGCGCACGUAGGCGGCUUUGUAAGUUAGAGGUGAAAGCCCGGAGCUCAACUCCGGAAUUGCCUUUAAGACUGCAUCGCUUGAAUCCAGGAGAGGUGAGUGGAAUUCCGAGUGUAGAGGUGAAAUUCGUAGAUAUUCGGAAGAACACCAGUGGCGAAGGCGGCUCACUGGACUGGUAUUGACGCUGAGGUGCGAAAGCGUGGGGAGCAAACAGG
Molecule: ribosomal RNA, 253 nt
Filed under: uncultured bacterium
Lineage: Bacteria
Description: partial 16S ribosomal RNA
Rfam family: Bacterial small subunit ribosomal RNA
Source: RNAcentral